This 257-nucleotide ribosomal RNA is filed under the name uncultured bacterium. RNAcentral's name for it is "partial 16S ribosomal RNA". It matches the Rfam family "Bacterial small subunit ribosomal RNA", at positions 524 to 776 of the family's 1533-position model. The record is from RNAcentral.
UACGGGGGGGUGCGAGCGUUUGUCCGGAAUCACUGGGCGUAAAGGGCGCGUAGGUGGUUUGAUAAGGGUGUGGUGAAAGCCCGGGGCUCAACCCCGGGUCUGCCGUGCCGACUGUCAAACUCGAGGGCUGUAGAGGCAGACGGAAUUCCGGGUGUAGCGGUGGAAUGCGUAGAGAUCCGGAGGAAGACCGGUGGCGAAGGCGGUCUGCUGGGGGUGAGGCUGACGCUGAUGCGCGACAGCGUGGGGGAGCAAACAGG